UACGUAGGGUGCAAGCGUUGUCCGGAAUUAUUGGGCGUAAAGAGCUUGUAGGCGGUUUUGUCGCGUCUGCUGUGAAAAUUUUCGGGGCUCAACCCCCGAACUUGCAGUGGGUACGGGCAGACUAGAGUGUGGUAGGGGAGACUGGAAUUCCUGGUGUAGCGGUGGAAUGCGCAGAUAUCAGGAGGAACACCAAUGGCGAAGGCAGAUCUCUGGGCCGUAACUGACGCUGAGGAGCGAAAGCAUGGGGAGCGAAACAGG
This 258-nucleotide ribosomal RNA is filed under the name uncultured bacterium. RNAcentral's name for it is "partial 16S ribosomal RNA". It matches the Rfam family "Bacterial small subunit ribosomal RNA", at positions 524 to 776 of the family's 1533-position model. The record is from RNAcentral.